CCCUUAGAUGUUCUGGGCCGCACGCGCGCUACACUGACGAAUUCAACGAGCUUAUAACCUUGGCCGAAAGGUCUAGGUAAUCUCCAAAAUUCGUCGUGAUGGGGAUAGAUUAUUGCAAUUAUUAAUCUUCAACGAGGAAUGCCUAGUAAGCGCAAGUCAUCAGCUUGCGUUGAUUACGUCCCUGCCCUUUGUACACACCGCCCGUCGCUCCUACCGAUGAGCGUUUUGGCGAAGACGGUUUGAGUAGCUGCGUAAUUUCGUGUUGUUGACUCCGGCAGUUUGAGCCUUCACGUUUAGAGGAAGGAGAAGUCGUAACA
RNAcentral lists this ribosomal RNA (317 nucleotides) under uncultured eukaryote. Its description in RNAcentral is "partial 18S ribosomal RNA". It matches the Rfam family "Eukaryotic small subunit ribosomal RNA", at positions 1470 to 1796 of the family's 1831-position model. The record is from RNAcentral.